CGGACCAUCCUUAUAAGAUCUUGUUAAACAAAUGGCCGCCAACAAUCUCCAAUUCCAACAAAGGACCGAUUCUAGCAUUCAGACCUUGAACACACAAAUGGGACAACUUGCUACUCAAAUAAAUAACAUGCAAGCCCAAGGGUCGAACCAGCACAAUCUCCAAUUCCAACAAAGGACCGAUUCUAGCAUUCAGACCUUGAACACACAAAUGGGACAACUUGCUACUCAAAUAAAUAACAUGCAAGCCCAAGGGUCGAACCAGCUUCCAGCCCAAACAGUUAUCAAUCCAAGGGAUUCUAAUGCUAAUGUGAGUGUGAUUUCGUUGAGAUCUGGAAAGGUUACAAAAACAACCCCUGAAAAAAAUAAAAAAAUUAUUGAGGUAACAUCUGAA
RNAcentral lists this long non-coding RNA (391 nucleotides) under Lathyrus oleraceus (garden pea). Its description in RNAcentral is "Pisum sativum (pea) long non-coding RNA (PSAT_LNC036791)". The record is from RNAcentral. Lineage: Eukaryota; Viridiplantae; Streptophyta; Magnoliopsida; Fabales; Fabaceae.